UACAGAGGGUGCGAGCGUUAAUCGGAAUUACUGGGCGUAAAGCGUGCGUAGACGGUAAUGUAAGUCAGAUGUGAAAGCCCCGGGCUCAACCUGGGAAUUGCAUUUGAGACUGCAUUGCUUGGGUGCGGAAGAGGGAAGCGGAAUUUCCGGUGUAGCGGUGAAAUGCGUAGAUAUCGGGAAGAACACCCGUGGCGAAGGCAGGUCUCUGGGCCACUACUGACGCUGAGAAGCGAAAGCAUGGGGAGCAAACAGG
This 253-nucleotide ribosomal RNA is filed under the name uncultured bacterium. RNAcentral describes it as "partial 16S ribosomal RNA". It matches the Rfam family "Bacterial small subunit ribosomal RNA", at positions 524 to 776 of the family's 1533-position model. The record is from RNAcentral.